This 316-nucleotide ribosomal RNA is filed under the name Meriderma carestiae. RNAcentral's name for it is "SSU rRNA". It matches the Rfam family "Eukaryotic small subunit ribosomal RNA", at positions 80 to 350 of the family's 1831-position model. The record is from RNAcentral. Lineage: Eukaryota; Evosea; Eumycetozoa; Stemonitida; Stemonitidae.
UCUGAAUCUGCGUACGGCUCCGCACACCAGUUGUAAACCAAAGCAAGCAAGCCCGGUCUCGACGCCUUUCGGGGCUAGAGGCCGGGCUACAAGGAUAACCCUGGUAAUUCUGAGGCUAAUACUUGACACAGAACCUGCCGACUGGGCCUCGGUUCGGGAAGCAGGGGAUGUGCGACUAUCGGGCCAACAAAACCGGAAAGAGCGCACGUUCAGACCACUUAAAAAGGCUUCGGGUCCUUCGGGAUCCGGGGCUGUGGCUCUUGCAGCGUGCUUCUGACCUAUCAACUAGACGGCAGCCUAAGGGACAUGCUUUGGU